UACAUGGGGUGCAAACGUUGCUCGGAAUUAUUGGGCGUAAAGCGCACGUAGGCGGUUCGUUUAAGUCGGAUGUGAAAAGCCCCUCGGCUCAACUGAGGAAGUGCACCCCGAAAACUGGCGAGCUUGAGUACGAAAAGAGGAUCGCGGAAUUCCCGGUGUAGAGGUGAAAUUCGUAGAUAUCGGGAGGAACACCGGUGGCGAAGGCGGCGAUCUGGGGUCGAUACUGACGCUGAGGUGCGAAAAGCGUGGGGGAGCAAACAGG
This 262-nucleotide ribosomal RNA is filed under the name uncultured bacterium. RNAcentral describes it as "partial 16S ribosomal RNA". It matches the Rfam family "Bacterial small subunit ribosomal RNA", at positions 524 to 776 of the family's 1533-position model. The record is from RNAcentral.